CCUACGGGAGGCAGCAGUGAGGAAUAUUGGACAAUGGGUGAAAGCCUGAUCCAGCCAUCCCGCGUGAAGGAUGACGGUCCUAUGGAUUGUAAACUUCUUUUGUACAGGGAUAAACCUACUCUCGUGAGGGUAGCUGAAGGUACUGUACGAAUAAGCACCGGCUAACUCCGUGCCAGCAGCCGCGGUAAUACGGAGGGUGCAAGCGUUAUCCGGAUUUAUUGGGUUUAAAGGGUCCGUAGGCGGACCUGUAAGUCAGUGGUGAAAUCUCAUAGCUUAACUAUGAAACUGCCAUUGAUACUGCAGGUCUUGAGUAAAUUUGAAGUGGCUGGAAUAAGUAGUGUAGCGGUGAAAUGCAUAGAUAUUACUUAGAACACCAAUUGCGAAGGCAGGUCACUAAGAUUUAACUGACGCUGAUGGACGAAAGCGUGGGUAGCGAACAGGAUUAGAUACCCUGGUAGUCCACGCCGUAAACGAUGCUAACUCGUUUUUGGAUUUUCGGAUUCAGAGACCAAGCGAAAGUGAUAAGUUAGCCACCUGGGGAGUACGUCCGCAAGGAUGAAACUCAAAGGAAUUGACGG
Molecule: ribosomal RNA, 578 nt
Filed under: uncultured bacterium
Lineage: Bacteria
Description: bacterial SSU rRNA
Rfam family: Bacterial small subunit ribosomal RNA
Source: RNAcentral